GAUCAGGGCUCUUAUCGUACUGAGCGUGGCCCUGUUCUGCCAGGCGCUGCAGAGACCCCAGUAAAUGUCUGGGGAAUAGUCACAAAACAAUUUCGCGUUGAAUAAGGAGUUGCUAAUGUGAAGAGAUUGAGUAACACUGCUUCCCAGAAAAGUGUAAUGCACCCCACCUCUCCAUCAUCACAUACUUCACCCACCAUGCCAGACUAGAAGUACUGACAGCGGAUCAGCCACUGACGCAUCUAACCUAGUAUCCUGUCUUCACCAGUGGCCAGGACACAGCUGUUUAAUUCCUAUGUAUCCUACUGUGCAAUAUCAUACCAUAGGCUUCUCCAUAAAGGGAUAAAUCAGUUGUUUAA
Mauremys reevesii (Reeves's turtle) is the source of this 356-nucleotide long non-coding RNA. RefSeq lists it as uncharacterized. The transcript is spliced from 2 exons. The record is from RefSeq and is a predicted model, not a curated record. Lineage: Eukaryota; Metazoa; Chordata; Testudines; Geoemydidae.